Molecule: non-coding RNA, 196 nt
Organism: Oryza barthii
Lineage: Eukaryota; Viridiplantae; Streptophyta; Magnoliopsida; Poales; Poaceae
Source: Rfam
CCCAAAAAAAAACUUAGGUUUUCGCGUCUAAUGUUUGACCGUCCAUCUUAUUUGAAAAAAAUUAAAAACAUAAGUCAUGCAUAAAGUAUUAUUCAUGUUUUAUCAUUUAACAAUAAUAAUAACACCAAUCAUAAAAAAAAUUUAUAUAAGACGGACGGUCAAACGUUGGACACGGAAACCCAAGAAUUGAGUCUUU